Molecule: long non-coding RNA, 573 nt
Organism: Pan paniscus (pygmy chimpanzee)
Lineage: Eukaryota; Metazoa; Chordata; Mammalia; Primates; Hominidae
Source: Ensembl
GCAAUAUUGGUGGUGUCACUCACUAGGAUUUGCAGCAAUUCAGCUGUCAUAGCCCUCAGAUCAGAGAGUCAUAAAAGAUCAAGGGAUGAGUGUCAGGAGUCUGUGAUGAGAGUAGAGAAAGGGGCAUAAUACUGCUUUAAAGACCUUCCUAAGCUGUGUGUAGUUAGGCUAAACUAUUUUGGUUAGAAGAAUGAUGGUACAAGAUGAAGUAAGACUGGAAAGUAUUUUAAGGUUAAAAUAUUGUUCCUGAUCCUAAACCAAUAAAUAACUACUAUCUUGUGAUUCUGUGGCAGGAACCACUCCUCCUGAUUAUGACCAAAGAUUCUACAGAACAUCAACGAGUGAGAUUUCCUGUAGACGUGACAUGCAAGAAAGCCCGUGAAGGUCGUGGUGCAUCACCUAACACAGCAGUUCACAAGGUAUGGCCCACAAAUCUUUGUGCAUCCCUAAGACUCUUGCAAGGAGUCCUUUCAGUGGAAACUAUUUUCCUAAUAGUACUAAGACAUUAUUUAGCCUUUUCACUCUGUUGACAUUUGUACUGAUGGUGCACAGUCCAUGGUGUGACAAAAUGAG